GGCGGCGUGCAUGAGACAUGCAAGUCGAACGGACGAUCGAGGCUUGCCUUGAUCGUUAGUGGCGGACGGCUGAGUAACGCGUAGGUGACCUGCCCCGAAGUGGGGAAUAACUGCCCGAAAGGGUGGCUAAUACCGCAUGUGGUGGUGUGUUCAUUCACACCAGUAAAGCCGCAAGGCGCUUCGGGAGGGGCCUGCGUCCGACUAGCUCGUUGGUGGGGUAACGGCUCACCAAGGCGACGAUCGGUAGGUGGUCUGAGAGGACGAUCACCCAGACUGGGACUGAGACACGGCCCAGACUCCUACGGGAGGCAGCAGUCGGGAAUUUUGCGCAAUGGACGAAAGUCUGACGCAGCAACGCCGCGUGAGGGAUGAAGGCCUUCGGGUUGUAAACCUCUUUUAUCAGGGAAGAUAAUGACGGUACCUGAUGAAUAAGUCACGGCUAACUACGUGCCAGCAGCCGCGGUAAUACGUAGGUGACGAGCGUUGUCCGGAUUUACUGGGCGUAAAGA
Molecule: ribosomal RNA, 509 nt
Filed under: uncultured bacterium
Lineage: Bacteria
Description: bacterial SSU rRNA
Rfam family: Bacterial small subunit ribosomal RNA
Source: RNAcentral